AGCGAACGCUGGCGGCAGGCCUAACACAUGCAAGUCGAGCGGGCCCUUCGGAGGCAGCCUCUUCUUGGUGUGUAACACGUCGGAACGUUCACGUCUGAGUGGCAUAACGCUGGGAAGCGAGCGCUAAUACCGGAUACCUGCUAUUAGGGAAUAGGUUAACGCUCCAGGAUCGGCCCGCGUCUAAUUAGCUUGUUGGCGUGGUAAUGGCCUACCAAGGCGACGAUCAGUAGCUGGUCUGAGAGCAUGAACAGCCACAUUGUGACUGAGACACGGCCCAGACUCCUACGGGAGGCAGCAGUGGGGGAUAUUGCACAAUGGGGGAAAGCCUGAUGCAGCGAUGCCGCGUGAGGGAUGAAGGUCUUAGGGUUGUAAAGCUCUUUUGUUCGGGACGAUAAUGACGGUACCGAACGAGAAAGCACCGGCUAACUUCGUG
This 433-nucleotide ribosomal RNA is filed under the name uncultured bacterium. RNAcentral describes it as "partial 16S ribosomal RNA". It matches the Rfam family "Bacterial small subunit ribosomal RNA", at positions 29 to 507 of the family's 1533-position model. The record is from RNAcentral.